Molecule: small nuclear RNA, 161 nt
Filed under: Fukomys damarensis (Damara mole-rat)
Lineage: Eukaryota; Metazoa; Chordata; Mammalia; Rodentia; Bathyergidae
Description: U2 spliceosomal RNA
Rfam family: U2 spliceosomal RNA
About the family: U2 is a small nuclear RNA (snRNA) component of the spliceosome (involved in pre-mRNA splicing). Complementary binding between U2 snRNA (in an area lying towards the 5' end but 3' to hairpin I) and the branchpoint sequence (BPS) of the intron results the bulging out of an unpaired adenosine, on the BPS, which initiates a nucleophilic attack at the intronic 5' splice site, thus starting the first of two transesterification reactions that mediate splicing.
Source: Rfam by way of RNAcentral
AUCGCUUCUCGGCCUUUUGGCUAAGAUCAAGUGUAGGAAAGGAUAUCAUCCUCUCAAGUAACCAUGCACUUGAAUCUUUGGAUUCAAUAAGAAUCUUAUAACCACUCAUUUCUCUUUAUUGCUUUAGUAAUGUUCAUUAUAAUAUUUGUAGAAUAACUGUG